UACGGAGGGGGCUAGCGUUAUUCGGAAUUACUGGGCGUAAAGCGCACGUAGGCGGAUUGGAAAGUCAGAGGUGAAAUCCCAGAGCUCAACUUUGGAACUGCCUUUGAAACUCCCAGUCUUGAGGUCGUGAGAGGUGAGUGGAAUUCCGAGUGUAGAGGUGAAAUUCGUAGAUAUUCGGAGGAACACCAGUGGCGAAGGCGGCUCACUGGCACGAUACUGACGCUGAGGUGCGAAAGCGUGGGGAGCAAACAGG
RNAcentral lists this ribosomal RNA (253 nucleotides) under uncultured bacterium. RNAcentral describes it as "partial 16S ribosomal RNA". It matches the Rfam family "Bacterial small subunit ribosomal RNA", at positions 524 to 776 of the family's 1533-position model. The record is from RNAcentral.